CUCUAGUCUGGCACUGUAAGGAGACAUGAGAGGUGUAGCAUAAGUGGGAGAGGUGUUUUUUCGGCAUUUCGCCAGUGAAAUACCACUACUUUCAUUGUUUCUUUACUUACUCGGUUGGGCGGAGCGCGUGCGCCGAGGUUCCGACCCGGUCGUCACGGUGUUCUAGCGCAAGUGUGGGGCCCCAUACCGUAGGCCUCUGGCGUCGCAACGACCCACUGCGGAUUCGUCUGCAGUGGUACGUGGCGUCAGGGGAG
RNAcentral lists this non-coding RNA (254 nucleotides) under Habropoda laboriosa. RNAcentral's name for it is "Eukaryotic large subunit ribosomal RNA". It matches the Rfam family "Eukaryotic large subunit ribosomal RNA", at positions 2426 to 2619 of the family's 3401-position model. Lineage: Eukaryota; Metazoa; Arthropoda; Insecta; Hymenoptera; Apidae. The record is from Rfam by way of RNAcentral.